AUAAUCGGAUAAUUGCGCGUCUCUUUUGAGGCGUGAGGAAAGUCCAUGCUACCACGCGCUGCGAUGCGCGUAGUGUUUGUGCCUGCUGAAACCAUAAGGCAGGGUAGCUGGCAAUUGCCAGCUAACGGCGGAUGAAACACCCUAAGUGAAAAUACGGGCAAGUAAUCCCUAAGGUGCCAUAGAGACGAGGCUUUGCCGAAAGGCGGGUCAGAUGGAACGCGGUAAACCCCUCAAGGUAGCAACCCAAACAGAUAGCUUCACGGCUAUCAGGUCGGGGCACUUGCCAAAUUAGGAAUUGAACGAAAUGGCGAGGCACGCUUGCUGAUGCAGGCGGGUAGACAGAUGAUUAUCGACGGCGGGGCGCCCUUAAACGCUUGGCCUGAACAGAACAUGGCUUACAGAU
RNAcentral lists this RNase P RNA (403 nucleotides) under Lactobacillales bacterium. Its description in RNAcentral is "RNase P RNA component class B". It matches the Rfam family "Bacterial RNase P class B". Rfam says of the family: Ribonuclease P (RNase P) is a ubiquitous endoribonuclease, found in archaea, bacteria and eukarya as well as chloroplasts and mitochondria. Its best characterised activity is the generation of mature 5'-ends of tRNAs by cleaving the 5'-leader elements of precursor-tRNAs. Lineage: Bacteria; Bacillati; Bacillota; Bacilli; Lactobacillales. The record is from RNAcentral.